Molecule: ribosomal RNA, 429 nt
Filed under: uncultured bacterium
Lineage: Bacteria
Description: bacterial SSU rRNA
Rfam family: Bacterial small subunit ribosomal RNA
Source: RNAcentral
UGGGGAAUCUUGGACAAUGGGCGAAAGCCUGAUCCAGCAAUGCCGCGUGUGUGAAGAAGGCCUUCGGGUUGUAAAGCACUUUCAGUGGGGAAGAAAUACUUAAGAUUAAUACUCUUAAGGGUUGACGUUACCCACAGAAGAAGCACUGGCAAACUCUGUGCCAGCAGCCGCGGUAAUACAGAGAGUGCGAGCGUUAAUCGGAAUUACUGGGCGUAAAGGGCACGUAGGUGGAUGUUUAAGUCGGAUGUGAAAGCCCCGGGCUCAACCUGGGAAUCGCAUUCGAUACUGAGCGUCUAGAGUAUGGUAGAGGGAAGUGGAAUUUCCGGUGUAGCGGUGAAAUGCGUAGAUAUCGGAAAGAACACCAGUGGCGAAGGCGGCUUCCUGGACCAAUACUGACACUCAAGUGCGAAAGCGUGGGGAGCAAACAGG